RNAcentral lists this ribosomal RNA (545 nucleotides) under uncultured bacterium. Its description in RNAcentral is "bacterial SSU rRNA". It matches the Rfam family "Bacterial small subunit ribosomal RNA", at positions 355 to 916 of the family's 1533-position model. The record is from RNAcentral.
UCGGGAAUUUUGGGCAAUGGGCGAAAGCCUGACCCAGCAACGCCGCGUGAAGGAUGAAGUCUCUCGGGAUGUAAACUUCGUAAGAAUAGGAAGAAUAAAUGACGGUACUAUUUGUAAGGUCCGGCUAACUACGUGCCAGCAGCCGCGGUAAUACGUAGGGACCAAGCGUUGUUCGGAUUUACUGGGCGUAAAGGGCGCGUAGGCGGCGUGUCAAGUCAAUUGUGAAAUCUCCGAGCUUAACUCGGAACGGUCAAUUGAUACUGAUGUGCUAGAGUGCAGAAGGGGCAAUCGGAAUUCUUGGUGUAGCGGUGAAAUGCGUAGAUAUCAAGAGGAACACCUGAGGUGAAGACGGGUUGCUGGGCUGACACUGACGCUGAGGCGCGAAAGCUAGGGUAGCAAACGGGAUUAGAUACCCCGGUAGUCCUAGCCCUAAACGAUGAAUACUUGGUGUCUGGAGUUUUAAUUCUCCGGGUGCCGUCGCUAACGUUUUUAGUAUUCCGCCUGGGGAGUACGCACGCAAGUGUGAAACUCAAAGGAAUUGACGG